RNAcentral lists this long non-coding RNA (312 nucleotides) under Elaeis guineensis (African oil palm). RNAcentral's name for it is "long non-coding RNA (EGUI_LNC031887)". Lineage: Eukaryota; Viridiplantae; Streptophyta; Magnoliopsida; Arecales; Arecaceae. The record is from RNAcentral.
UGUUUCAAUAUCUGCUUUUGAUAGGUUAAUAUGUAGUAACAUCAUAUACAAGAAAAGCAAGUCAAUGUUAGGGACCUUUUUGCAGAUUGGAACUUGCUCUGGUAGGAGUCUUUCUGGUAGCAAAAGAAGGACGAGAAAAUCCAACAGAAGAUAGAACGAGCAUCUAUCACCAAUUCACCAUAAAAAGGAAGGAGUAACUAGUAAUGAUAGAGCAAAGUCUUCUACCGUUCUAACAAUAGGAAGGAAAUUUUCUAUUUAUUACGCGGUCUGAGGCUGGUAGCCGGUAAAAAUAACUCUGUGCUGAUUAAGGAU